GACGAACGCUGGCGGCGUGCUUAACACAUGCAAGUCGAACGGAAAGGCCCUGCUUUUGUGGGGUGCUCGAGUGGCGAAAGGGUGAGUAACACGUGAGUAACCUGCCCUUGACUUUGGGAUAACUUCAGGAAACUGGGGCUAAUACCGGAUAGGAGCUCCUGCUGCAUGGUGGGGGUUGGAAAGUUUCGGCGGUUGGGGAUGGACUCGCGGCUUAUCAGCUUGUUGGUGGGGUAGUGGCUUACCAAGGCUUUGACGGGUAGCCGGCCUGAGAGGGUGACCGGCCACAUUGGGACUGAGAUGCGGCCCAGACUCCUACGGGAGGCAGCAGUGGGGUAUAUUGCACAAUGGGCGGAAGCCUGAUGCAGCCACGCCGCGUGCGGGAUGACGGCCUUCGGGUUGUAAACCGCUUUCGCCUGUGACGAAGCGUGAGUGACGGUAAUGGGUAAAGAAGCACCGGCUAACUACGUG
Molecule: ribosomal RNA, 468 nt
Filed under: uncultured bacterium
Lineage: Bacteria
Description: partial 16S ribosomal RNA
Rfam family: Bacterial small subunit ribosomal RNA
Source: RNAcentral